Molecule: long non-coding RNA, 771 nt
Organism: Bos taurus (domestic cattle)
Lineage: Eukaryota; Metazoa; Chordata; Mammalia; Artiodactyla; Bovidae
Source: Ensembl
ACCCUAUUGCAUUGAGCCCGUCGACUACCAAAUGCUGAUCCCUUAUUCCAGCUGCCAUGUACUGAGGCAGCCAGUGCUGCUUUAGGAAAUUCUGAAGGGCAGAUCCUCAAGACAAGUGGUCCCAGCAGCUGCUAGGGCCUUACUGGAAAAUUCCCUAACCAGGGUUGGCUGUCCACAAGCAGUUAGUCUCCUGGCUGGCUCUACUAAAGUUUUUUACUGAGUCCAAGCUUAUACUGGUCUGAUCUGAUACUGGUCACUGCACAAUGGACCAAUAAAUCAAGAGAUGAGUUGUUGGGACAAGGAAUUGCAACUUGAUUUGGAAAGCCAGCAGACCCAGAAGAUGACGCUCUAGUGUCCCAAAGAACCAUGUUUCCGGAGUUAGGAAUCAGGCUUCUUUUACACUGAAAGAGGAGGGGCUAAAGUUCUGGUUCCAGCCAGACUCCGGAAAGGGAUGUGUUAAUUUCUUCUUGCCUGCAACCAUUCACAGGUGCUCCUCAUGGAAUAAGUGUGUAACUCACAUGUAAGCAGACUUGACAUAGGAUGACAAGAUCUACACAGCUGUUACCUUGAACACAAUACACAAAAACUAAACUCACUUUUGGCUUUUGCAAACCAGUUUCCCUUCCUGAACCUCCAUAUUGUUGCUUUUUGCGACCCCAUGGACUGCAGGACAUCAGGCUUCCCUGUUCAUCACCAACUCCCAGAGCUUGCUCAAACUCAUGUCCAUUGAGUUGGUGAUGCCAUCCAACCAUCUGAUCCUCUGUUGUCCCC